CGAUAUCCAUUUCCAUCCCGCAAAAUGUACAACCGGAGUAGACAUACUAACAUGAAAACGAGAACAAACAAUCGAAGUUGUACAUGUUCUUAGGAUAUUCCUAACUUCUAACCCAUAUUUUAGAGCACCUUCGUGAAAGUAAAAUAAGUGCUUUCAGACUCAAAACACAACAAGGAAUUUAAUAUUUAAGAGAUCCUAUUCCUCUGAAAAGUGAUAACAAUGCAACAACGUAAACAACAUUUAUGACAUCCAGUUGUCAUGUAAUCGAUGCAAUAGAGAUGUAUUUGAGACGUAAUCGACAUAUAAUUAAAAUAUGAUCGACGUAGA
Long non-coding RNA from Hydractinia symbiolongicarpus, 327 nucleotides. RefSeq lists it as uncharacterized. The transcript is spliced from 3 exons. The record is from RefSeq and is a predicted model, not a curated record. Lineage: Eukaryota; Metazoa; Cnidaria; Hydrozoa; Anthoathecata; Hydractiniidae.